Molecule: ribosomal RNA, 253 nt
Filed under: uncultured bacterium
Lineage: Bacteria
Description: partial 16S ribosomal RNA
Rfam family: Bacterial small subunit ribosomal RNA
Source: RNAcentral
UACGGAGGGUGCAAGCGUUAUCCGGAUUCACUGGGUUUAAAGGGUGCGUAGGUGGGCAGGUAAGUCAGUGGUGAAAUCUCCGGGCUUAACCCGGAAACUGCCAUUGAUACUAUCUGUCUUGAAUACCGUGGAGGUGAGCGGAAUAUGUCAUGUAGCGGUGAAAUGCUUAGAUAUUCGGUGGAACACCAGUGGCGAAGGCGACUCGCUGGACUGAUACUGACGCUGAGGUGCGAAAGCGUGGGGAGCAAACAGG